ACCCUACGGGGCGCAGCAGUGGGGGAUAUUGCACAAUGGGGGAAACCCUGAUGCAGCGACGCCGCGUGUGGGAAGACGGUCCUCUGGAUUGUAAACCACUGUCCCCAGGGACGAAGAUGACGGUACCUGGGGAGGAAGCUCCGGCUAACUACGUGCCAGCAGCCGCGGUAAUACGUAGGGGGCAAGCGUUAUCCGGAUUUACUGGGUGUAAAGGGAGCGCAGACGGCUGUGCAAGUCUGGAGUGAAAGGCGGGGGCCCAACCCCCGGACUGCUCUGGAAACUGUAAAGCUGGAGUGCAGGAGAGG
RNAcentral lists this ribosomal RNA (305 nucleotides) under uncultured bacterium. Its description in RNAcentral is "bacterial SSU rRNA". It matches the Rfam family "Bacterial small subunit ribosomal RNA", at positions 335 to 657 of the family's 1533-position model. The record is from RNAcentral.